UCGGGAAUUUUGGGCAAUGGGGGCAAGCCUGAUCCAGCCAUGCCGCGUGAGUGAUGAAGGCCUUAGGGUUGCAAAGCUCUUUUGCCGGGGACGAUAAUGACGGUACCCGGAGAAUAAGUCCCGGCUAACUUCGUGCCAGCAGCCGCGGUAAUACGAAGGGGACUAGCGUUGUUCGGAAUCACUGGGCGUAAAGCGCACGUAGGCGGAUUUGUAAGUCAGGGGUGAAAUCCCGGGGCUCAACCUCGGAACUGCCUUUGAUACUGCGGAUCUCGAGUCCGAUAGAGGUGAGUGGAAUUCCUAGUGUAGAGGUGAAAUUCGUAGAUAUUAGGAAGAACACCGGUGGCGAAGGCGGCUCACUGGAUCGGUACUGACGCUGAGGUGCGAAAGCGUGGGGAGCAAACAGGAUUAGAUACCCUAGUAGUCCCUGAGCGGGCUGGCAAGGCGCAU
Molecule: ribosomal RNA, 447 nt
Filed under: uncultured bacterium
Lineage: Bacteria
Description: bacterial SSU rRNA
Rfam family: Bacterial small subunit ribosomal RNA
Source: RNAcentral